This 8695-nucleotide long non-coding RNA is filed under the name Sus scrofa (pig). RNAcentral's name for it is "lncRNA (ENSSSCG00000058476.1)". Lineage: Eukaryota; Metazoa; Chordata; Mammalia; Artiodactyla; Suidae. The record is from RNAcentral.
CACAUAGAUACCAACACACGGACACGCACAGACCCACACAGAUACACACGGAAGUGCUUCCCUGGUUGUGCUCUAUCCCUGAGCCUUUGAUGGACACACGUGCACAUACAUGUGUAAUGUUUUAAUGGGAAUCUCCCUGAGGAAGGGUCUGCACCCUGACCUCCUUUCUGCUCUAUCCUGGGGCAGUGAGGACCAAUGGACGAAUGGCAAGGGGUAUAAAAAAACCCCUAAACAGACAACAAAGCAGAGCGCCUCACCCCCCGCCCCCUGCCCUGUGGCGGAUGAAGCCCCCGCGGCGGAUGCAUCAGGAUGCUGACCUGCCCAGGGAUGCUGCACCAUGGGUGUCGUGGUCGGGACGCGCCCCUUCUUCCUGCUGCAGGAGUUUCUGUCAUCAGAAGCCCCUUUGCAAAACUUUCCCCCAAACUGUGGCUUUGGGACCCAGUUACUAUCUAGUCCCUGUCACCUCUGUCACCAUUUCCCUGCUUCUUCUAGCUCCUUUUCCUGCAUCUCCCGGACUUGGACCGGGGUUCUGUCUGCACCUCUCAUCUUCCUUUUCUGUCCUCUCCCUCGGUGAACUCAGUUACUUCUGCAAUUUUUCCUUCCCUUUCUACGGAAAUUGUUUGUAGACGAUGUCUCUGGCUCCAAGCUCUUUCCAGCGGCCUGGACCAGCAUCUCCCAGGUUGGCCAGGCCCAUGGACCAGCGCAGUGACUCCCAACCCUGCUUGGUUCUUGUAAACGCCUGGAGAGCUCGAAUGGCACAGACUCCAACGUUUUGGAAGAUCUGACUCAGAUUUAGUAGUUCGGGGGCAUGGGCCAGGAAUAUGCAUUUUUAAAACUCUUCGUGGUAGGGUGAUGUGGUCACUAGGUGCUGUGGGCCAGGGGAAGGACUUCAGGAGAAGGUCACAUUUAAGGGCCAGGGAGGGAGUGAGGGAGACAAUUUGAGUUCAACCAAGGAGCCCCUGGAAGGUGCAGGAGGAGAUGUCCUAUCGGGGCAGGUGUGGGUCUAAGCUCUGGUGGCAGUUUUUGCUGGAGAGGGACGGGGAUAGGUGGAUGGAUGGAAGAACCCCAGGCCUGGCUCUGAGCACCUGCUGCAGGUGCAGAGGGAGGGGCGGGGCCUGGAGAGCCUGGACUGUGUGGGUCUCGGGGGAAGGAGGAGGAGGGUAAAGGCCCUUGGUUGGGGGUUGGCCAGAGAGUCGGAGGGAAGUUAGAGAGAGCAGAGUCUCAGAAGCUAAAAGAGCAGAGACUUGAACACAUCAAAAUGAACCGGGCGCUGGUUCACACUUGUGUCUGGCUGGACCACAGCAUGAGCUGGGCUUGGGGCUCCGUGAGGGAGGAGAUACUGCUGCAGCCUCAGCGGUCCUUGAGGAGGAGGUGCUACAACGAUGUGUUGAGUUUUGAUGACAGAGACACCCCCUGUCACACCAGAACGGGGUCCCCUGAAAUGCAGCUGGAGAAUUCCCAGCGACUCUUGUAGCUGGUUUUAUAGUGAGACGUGGCAGUUCUGGAGUCCCAAGAGUCACCUGGGGAGUGGGCUACAAUGCCUGCAAACCAUCCGCUGCCUCCGGAGUCGGUGUUUCUAAGCCUUUUGGGAAAAGUGACCAGAAUGUUUAUGUCCUGUGGGUGGGUCCCCAUCAGCGCUCCCUCUCCCCACGGCUCAGGAUCUGAACAGAAAGAAAAGACACGUCAACUGCCUAGAGGUUUCCGACUGUCGGGUCCAAGAAUAAUCCUUUUAGCAGAGACACUGGCACCAUUGUGGGGAGGGGCCCCCUGCCCACUGUGGGUUCACCGCCACUCCUGGGUGGCUUCUCUGAGAAAUCUCUUGGCUUCCUCCCUUCUCUCCAGCCCCUUCCUCCCCCACCUGCUUAAUAGAACCCCGUUUAUUUUCCUAGCACUUUGCUCCCUUCUCUUUCCAGGAGAUGAACAGUGUUCUAGUAUGGCAUUUUUUUGGGUCUUUUCCUCAUUAUUUAAGUAAGGUUCUGUUUGUUUUAUGCUCCAUCUAACAUAGGCUGUUGCACCCAAAUCCUUCAUCUUUGUUAUCUUUUCCUGGUGCUAGUGGAGCAGAAGGAAACGGGAACUGGUCCAUGACAUGAUGCUUCUUUCUGCAUCAUUCACAGUCUUGUUUUUGGCAGUGCUGCCUGCCACGCACAGCAGCCCAUAGAAAUGGCACCAUGACCCUCUCCCACCGCCACUGCCCUGCAGGUAAAUCGGACCACGUCUCUUGAGCCUGUUGCCAGCAGAGUGGACUCAUGGUGUGUGGGAACCUCCCAGUUUCCUGCAAGCCCUGAGGUCCACACAGACUUGGCUUAGGUGGAAAUAUGAAGAGGAUAUAUUUGACACUUGACCUUGUCCAGAGAAUAGGGCUGUGUGCUUUCUGGAGCCAGAGCCAGGCAGUACCUGGAGGUGGAGGUAGGUGGGAGGAGGCCAGAGGAGUCAUGGGUGGUCGAGAGGGGAGUAUGCUGGUCAGAGAGGCCUGAGUGCUGGGAAGAAGGCUUGGGUUGUCUGGUUUCCCACUUAUACUGUGAAUUGGGGGUGACAGUGAGCAUGGUGGCCUAGGCUGGCCAUGAGGGUGGGUGAGUCAAGGCACAUGGACCCUUAGAGCCGUGCCCACACAGGAUGGUGUGUGCUGCCUGGAAAGCUCCCGGCCGGAGGCUGGGGGCCACUGAGACUGGUCCUGGAAACAGGUGAACCCCGUGGCUCUCCGGAAGAGCUUUUGUGGGAGAGGGGGCAGAGGCUUUUGUUUCUGGCGACUCUUACCUAGGGGGCUGGGUGUGUAUGCUCUGGUCCUACUGCUCAGGGAGGGGCAGAGGGGCCUCCGUGGCUAGAGAAGGAGCCCCGGGCCCCGAGGCGGGUGAGAGCUGGUGUUUGAGGGGUGAGCAGAGCCACCUCAGCCCUCGUCCUCUUGCAGGGAGAGGGCACACUUUUGUCCUCAGGUUUGCUCUGGGGCAAGAGGUCUCUGUGGGGUGUCCACGCAUCACGAGUCACAGUCACGGCAGAGGGAGAGUCAGGGCUGCUGUCGGCAGGUGUGUCCUCACACAGAGGUCCAAGCUCUGCGCAGAUGGGCUUGUGAAACACAGGGACAGGUGACCACAGGGUAUGGGCCACGUGGUCCCCAUCGCAGCCUGCCUGGUCCUCUGGCCUCCGGAAGGUGCUUCAUCUGGGAGGGAUCCCCUUGGAGGGUGCAGCUGAACUGCUCUGGGCCGGGGUCGCAGGGGCUGACCCAGGAGAGAGGCCUGGACUGUGUGGCCUCCCUCAGUCACUGAACCUUUCUGUUUGCAUCUCUCCUGGCAGGUGGGGGCCGCAGAUACGGCUUAGUUAUUAUAGUUACCUUUAUCGAGUGACCACCAGGCGCCGGUGCUUUGCACACAUGGUUCCUAAUCCCUGACAGUAAAUGAUCAUAUCUAUUUACUUGUUUACUUGAGGGUAGAGACUGGAUCAUUGCUCUCUCCCCGGUGCCUGGGGCAGGAGCUGGCAUACGCCGGACUCUUGAUAAAUAUUUGUUGAGCCAGUGGACAGGAGGAUGAGGUGGUGGGGGGAGAGGCAGGGCCCUGCCAGAUGGUCUCCCUUUGGUUCAGAGGAGCAAAGUGACUGGUGCGUGAGGGCUGCUGGUGGCUCCCACCCUGUGUUCUGCCAAUGAGGGACUUUGUGAGCAGAGCAGGAGGGAGAAGGGAAGGUGCCCCAGAGAUUAAACACCCCCGGCAGCGUUAACUUUUAUGAAACAAAAGCUUGGUUCUGUUGCAAAAUAAAUUGGGUAAACACUGAGGUAACCCGAGUUACAGGAUUGCUGACCCUGAGUCUCUUAGCUCAGUCCUGAUGGGCCCUGUGUAUGUGUUUGCUCCGUGUGCAGAUGCUGACCACAGUGCCGUGUGCAGACACUGGCCACAGAGUCGUGUGCAGACACUGGCCACAGUGCCAUAUCUACCCAGUCAUUUAAGCCUCCUAAUAACCCUCUGGGAUCUUGCUCUUGUCGUCCCAUUUUUCAGAUGAGGACACUGACACCAGAGAAGGAGAUGGUCUGCCCUUGAAACACAGACGCCAUGGUGUGGGGUGGGCCUGCGUCCUUAAUGUCAUGUGACCGCUGCCUCCAUGUCCCGAGGCGUCGUGGCUCCCUGGACGGGGCAGGGCGGGCAUCCCCUUCCCAGCCUUCACCGUCACAGACAGCACCAGGUUUAGAACUGCCCGUGGUGGAGAAGCCCUGUCCCCAGGACCAGUGCCGUGGGGAGAGAUGCAGGAUGCGUGGGGAAGCCAGUGCAGGGCAGCCGCACCCAGGCCAGGUGUCUGACAGGCAGAGGGAGCCCCGUGCGCGAUGAAAGGGUUCCCCUCCCGAGCGCAAGAGGCACCAUCCACUCUGCAGUAGGCAGUGGACAGGGUGAGCGGGACGAGGCUUUGAAGUCUAAGUAUGUGACACCUCUUGCUCUGUUUUUAUCCAUUUGUCUUCAUUUGGGGGGAUUGUUCGACAAAUACAUUCACGUGCUGUGUAAUGGCACGCCUUUCAUGCACCGAGCUCCUUUUAACCUAAGUGUGUUUGAGGAAGGUCUUUCUAGAAUGUAAAUAUCAAAUCUCCGGAUCUUUAAAAGGAAAUUCUGGGUCUAUUUCACCCCUUUCCAGUGCUGCACCAGCCUCCGACAUUUCGGGUGUUGAACCUGCUGUCAGGCUGCGAAGCCAUCGUGAGGCAGGGGGCAGCUCGGUGUCUUGGAGCUGGGGUCCCGGAGGGGCCCCUCGUGCUUCUCAGGGACGGGCCUCAGGAUGUGUGCCCCUGCUCCUGUGGCCUGGAAAUGGGUCAGCAGCUCCAUCCAGCCGUGUGCUCGGUGGGAGCGGGAGGACCGAGGGGCUCACAGGAGUGAAGUGCGUCAGCUCCCACCUGUGGACCUGAGAACGUCGAUUUUGGCUUCUUAGGAGUUUGUCCUCCUUUGCUCCCUUUGUUCCUGCUUCUCCAUGACAAGUGUUAGCUCAGCCACCCCCCUAAUGAUGACAGAGACGUCCAUGCUGUGGGGCCACGCUAUACCGCAGGCACCGCUCUGAGAACCAGGCAGUGCCCACUGGCCUGGCCCUCUCUGCACCCCUGGGAGACCCUUGAGAGUUAGAACCACCACAAUUUAGAGACAAGAAAGAUGAGGCACAGAGAAGUGGAGGAGCUUGCCCUGGGCAGCACAGCCAUGACGCAGGGGAGCAGGGGUUCCAGCCCAGGUGUCCAGGUGCAUGGGUCUCAAGACCCUUAAUGCCUAUGGGUCCGGCCCUCCGUGGCCUCAGGGAGGGUGUUUGCCUCCGUCAUCGGGACCUCACGCAGCAAGUGUGCCACGAAUGUGAGGGUCUGUUCACAGUGACGCAGGGGGUGUUGUGUCUGUGAGUCUGGAGGUGUCUGGAGCCCCUCAGUGCUAUCUGGAAGGCGCUGGAGAUGGAUGAGUGGGGAGCUGUGAUCUCAAAGCAGGUGUAAGGGCAGUGACCCGAGCUGGGGUCAUCGUCCCCAGUUCCGGCUCCACCGUCUGUGGCCUCGUCACUCCACUUCCUGGACAGACCAAGGUGGUGACUCCCACGGAGGUGUCGCGGCUGGUCCCAGAGGAGAAGAUGGAAAUGCCAGCGGCCGGGGGUGGAGCUGAGUUCUCACGAUGGCAGUCGGCACUCUGUCAUUGGAACAGACGUGCCCUGCCUGGGGCCUUGACCCCUUUCCUGGCAGGUUCCCCUGUGAACUUUUCCCGCAGCCUCUUCUCAAGAUGACUUAGGGAUGUGAGAGCUCAGAGCCAAGCUCCCAAUUUAGUUCCUGACCUUUCCAGGCUGGAUGGGAGUGGUGUGGCGGGGGUGGGGGUGGGGGCCGGGGGCCAGCGGGAGUCAUUGGCUUCCUGUGAGGCCCGGACACUCCCUCUGAGCGGCCCCUCACGGGCACCUAGUCCAGUGCUCUGGCUGUGAGGACUUCCCUUGCCGGGGUCCUGCGGCCUGCCUGGCCUCCUCAAAUGCAGAAAACGUCUGAAACACAGGCUUGUCUGUCUGAGGUCUGUGCGCAAAGUCAGGGUCUGAAACAUCCUGUCUCUGGAGACAAGGGGGAGGCCCAGAGAGUAACGGGGCAUAGGGUGUGUGUGCCAGCGGUGGGGGGAGAGGUGCGGGGGGGGUGUCAGGCCUUGUGGAAAAAGGUGUGGAGGCUGAGAGGUGGCUCUAGUCCCCCCACCCACCAGGCUACAGUGUGUGGAUGAAGGGGCCCCACAAGCAGACGGGGCGGCCCUCCCCGCCUCAGGGACAGCGAGCAGUACCUGGUCACUCCCCUCUCCCCGGCACGUGCACGGCCGCUGUGUCCUCAGGAGGCCCCCCAGGUCCAACUGUGGGUGAGGGUGAGGCAGGAGUCAAGGCAGCAGUGGCGGGGGCACGGGCCCCUGGAGCCUGGGUCUGAGGAUGCUCACGGGCCCUGCUGCAGGGUGGGGUGUUGUUCUGAGGGUGAGGAUCGGGGGGGGGCUUGGUUCCCCCCAGGGGGGCAUAGGGAGGCAUCGUGAGAGGUAUUGUGUCUUCUCACGUCUGGGACCUUCUGUGUGCCGCCUGUGGCCCGGGUGGAUGUCACCAAGAGGAGAAGCCCCAGAAGGUGCGGGUCACAGAAUCACGUUGAGGGCACCUGUGAGAAUGCCUCGGGGACACCGGGGUGCCUCUGGAGGCUCUGGUCUUGGCACUGCUGCCCUAGUUACCUGGCAGCUUCUCUGCACCAGGUUCAGGAGGGAGCCAUCUGCCAUCCCACAGGACAGGUCCCAGCUCCCCCUGGGGGCUGGAGAGGUGUGUCCGCCCAGCUGCAGUGCCUCCUGGGCUCCAGCCUCAGCUUCUGCUCUCAGAGGAGGAGGGCCUGGUCUCCAUCUCUGCCUCUAGGCCGAGCGCCCAGUGCACAUGAUGACAGCCUGUCCUGGUCCCAAAGGUGUCUGCUCCUUUGCAUCAUCCCCCCACUUUGGGGGCGGGAGGCCAGGUUGACCUGAAACUCAGGCAAAGGAGUGAGCACUGAGCUGGGGCUGGAUGUCCUGCACGGCCACUGCUGGCCUGGGCCCUUGGGUACAACACCCGACCUUUGUGUGUGCUUCUGUCCCAGGCUCCGUGCCUCCCACUGGCACCUCGUUCAGUCCUCCAGCAACCUGGAAAGGGAGGGGACGGUCACCCCUGUGACCAGAAACACCCUGGUGCUACGCUGGGUGGUGAGGACGAAUGGGUGCCCAUACCCAAACCCUCUCCUCUCCUGCCCUGACACGUGGCCGGGCCCAGUGUCUGCAUCCUCAAGGUGGGGCUGGAAAGGUGAGUCCUUUUUGACCCCGAGGGCGUAUGGAUUCUUCCUUGAAUCCAUCGCAGCACAAGCUGACAGCACUCACGCCCACUUGCCAAAGGGAGGACAUGGAGGCAUAAUCACUACACAAAAGUUAUUUUUAGGACUCGACCAAAAUGAAGGAAAAUCAGAAAGAUACUUGGUACUGUUCUCCCUCACAGACUGUAUACUGCGGGGGCUUUAAAGAGCUUUGUUGCGAAGACUGUUGACGUGGGGUUUCCUGGCUUUGUUUGUGGGGGGGAGUCUAGUUAUGUUGGAGGAGAUGCUUGUCCUAAACUUACGCUGACUCCCCACCCCCAUCCCCAGUGGGACAUGCUAUAUAUAUAUAUGCUAAGGUGUAUCUUUGCUUUAAAUUUGCUUAAAGACAUUGGACUAUAAAUCUGUAAUUGCUGGUGUUGCAUUAUUUGAAGACAGUGACCAUGGUGGGCUGGUUAGUUGGUCCAUCUAAGCACAACUGAGCUGGGCCCUGCUGUUGCCUGUGGUCCGCAGCAGGUGGGCCUCAGGCAGAAACGUCCCACACAAGCAUGGAGAAAUCAGCGCUGAGACAGGGGAAAGUCAGGGGGCGAAUGCAGGAUUCUGAGAUACUAACGUGAUUGGUAGAAAGCCCCAAAGACUGGCGGGUUGAAAAGUGGUAGAAAAGGUUUUCCUGGGAGAAGUUCUCCAGGUAAAGCCCUGAAGCCUGAAGCUUGUGGGCAAAUGGGCCAGCCCAAUGGUCGGAAUGCCAAAAUUGCAGGUAAGAAAAACAAGAGAUACGAUGCCAUGCGAAAGGUAUGAUUUCAACCUAGAAACCUAGGUUCUCAUGGUUCGAUCUAGGGACAUUCUUGGAGUGAUCUGCAUUCACUCGUCCAUAAAUGCUUACUGAGCACCUGCUUUGUAUAAGACACAGCCGUGCUUAAGGCAGAUGCCCUCACGAGGCGUCACUCCAGGGAGCAGUACCAGCAUCUAAUUAAGAGACGGAUCACUCAAUUAUAAUUGGCCUCUCAGAUAUGUAUGUUUAGGUUUGGAUGUGACUAUAUGUAAGUUAAUAUUUCAUUUAGGCUGCUGAAAACACAAAACCCAAACUAAUGAUCGCCUUAUUGCCUAGUAGGGAGGGCUGGAUCAUGAAAUCUCUGAAGUUGUGGUGAAUGCCAUGCUGUAGGGUAGGUUGUGGAAUUUUUAAUCCUGCUGACAUGGCCUCUAGAACUUAAACCUUGAGAUUUGCUGGAUCAGAGGGGUUAAGAGUGAGGAGGGAAUUUCCCACUGUGGUGCAGUGGGAUUGAUGGUGUCUCUGAAGUAGCAAGGACAUGGGUUCGAUUCCUGGCCCAGCACAGUGGGUUAAGGCUCCGGCGUUGCUGCAGCUGUACUGUAAGUUGUAUCGCCAGCUUGGAUUUGAUCCUUGAUCUGGGAACUUCCAUAUGCUGUGGGGUGGCCAAAAAA